UAGGGAAUCUUCGGCAAUGGACGAAAGUCUGACCGAGCAACGCCGCGUGAGUGAAGAAGGUUUUCGGAUCGUAAAACUCUGUUGUUAGAGAAGAACAAGGACGUUAGUAACUGAACGUCCCCUGACGGUAUCUAACCAGAAAGCCACGGCUAACUACGUGCCAGCAGCCGCGGUAAUACGUAGGUGGCAAGCGUUGUUCGGAUUUAUUGGGCGUAAAGCGAGCGCAGGCGGUUUCUUAAGUCUGAUGUGAAAGCCCCCGGGUCAACCGGGGAGGGUCAUUAGAAACUGGGAGACUUGAGUGCAGAGGAGGAGGGUGGAAUUCCAUGUGUGGCGGUGAAAUGCGUAGAUAUAUGGAGGAACACCAGUGGCGAAGGCGGCUCUCUGGUCUGUAACUGACGCUGAGGCUCGAAAGCGUGGGGAGCAAACAGG
RNAcentral lists this ribosomal RNA (429 nucleotides) under Gemmatimonadota bacterium. Its description in RNAcentral is "Gemmatimonadetes bacterium partial 16S ribosomal RNA". It matches the Rfam family "Bacterial small subunit ribosomal RNA", at positions 355 to 776 of the family's 1533-position model. Lineage: Bacteria; Pseudomonadati; Gemmatimonadota. The record is from RNAcentral.